CCUACGGGAGGCAGCAGUAGGGAAUAUUGCUCAAUGGGGGAAACCCUGAAGCAGCAACGCCGCGUGGAGGAUGAAGGUUUUCGGAUUGUAAACUCCUUUUGUUAGAGAAGAUAAUGACGGUAUCUAACGAAUAAGCACCGGCUAACUCCGUGCCAGCAGCCGCGGUAAUACGGAGGGUGCAAGCGUUACUCGGAAUCACUGGGCGUAAGGAGCGCGUAGGCGGGAUAGCAAGUCAGAUGUGAAAUCCUAUGGCUUAACCAUAGAACUGCAUUUGAAACUGUUAUUCUAGAGUAUGGGAGAGGUAGGUGGAAUUCUUGGUGUAGGGGUAAAAUCCGUAGAGAUCAAGAGGAAUACUCAUUGCGAAGGCGACCUGCUAGAACAUAACUGACGCUGAUGCGCGAAAGCGUGGGGAGCAAACAGGAUUAGAUACCCUAGUGUC
This 439-nucleotide ribosomal RNA is filed under the name uncultured bacterium. RNAcentral's name for it is "partial 16S ribosomal RNA". It matches the Rfam family "Bacterial small subunit ribosomal RNA", at positions 338 to 795 of the family's 1533-position model. The record is from RNAcentral.